AUGCUGAUGGAGUCCAGGUCCUCUUAUCUUCAUCCUAUCAGGUUGUUUUAGGGGAGCAGAAAGUAAGAGUUCUGGCUUCUGUAAUUGCUUCUCUGCUGAGCAUGGGCAUUGACAGGUCUAUCCAUACCCCCAGCCUGUUCCUAUCUUUCCCUAGUGGACCAGUGCUCUGGAGACCUGAGGGUCCAGGACACAUUAGUGAGGUUGUCUGCCCAGAGAAGUCAGGAUGGAUUCAUGGUAGCAUCUUUAACUUGGUGUCCAGAAGGUGGCAUGACCUAAGUUAAGACAAAAUGAUUAAAGGACAGGAAUCAAAAAUUUGGAUUGGAAAGGAUGAGAUUAGGGAUUUUAGGGUAGAAGAAAGCUAGGAAAUUCAUUUUAGGCAUGUUCCUGGGGGCACACAAAUAUGGUAGUUUUGCUUGAAUUUGGUAGCUAGCCUGAAGUUGGAUAAGAAUAUUGUCUGAGAGAAUGAUGUCAGAGUAGAGAAAAGGGCUAGAAAGUUGGAUUAGGGCAGGGAGUAGCUCCUUUUCUUGAAAAACAAAUUCUGUGGCUAAAAUUAACUAUUUACUUCCAUCCACCUGCCCCGGGGCCCAUAUAUUUAUAUUUGUAUUUAUAUUAAUAUUACUAUUUAUAUUUAGCACCAGAGCCUGUGUAAUCUCUAAGUCCUUAUUGGUCUGAGCUUAUAACUCAUGGUCACAACUGGGAACAUUGUAGGCUGCACUUAUUUCAAGACCAGUCUUUUUUUUUUAAUAUUUAUUUAUUUCCUUUUGUUGCUCUUGUUGCUUUUUUUAUUGUUGUAGUUAUUGUUAUUGAUGUCAUUGUUGUUGGAUAGGACAGACAGAAAUGGAGAGAGGAGGGGAAGACAGGGGAGAGAAAGAUAGAUACCUGCAAACCUGCUUCAUCACUUGUGAAGCGACUCCCCUGCAGGUGGGGAGCCGGGGGCUCGAACCGGGAUCCUUAUGCUGGUCCUUGUGCUUUGCGCCACCUGCACUUAACCCACUGCGCUACCACCCGACUCCCAGGACCAGUAUUUUUUGAGUGGCAGGGCAGGAUAACCCCAGCCUUCCUUUGGAGGCUGGGGCUAUCCCUAUCGUCAUUGCUUUUAUGGUGAGGACAAGGUCCUGGGAGGGCCCACAAGAUGCCAUUCCUUAUGGAAGUGACCAGUGGUGGUGGAGAGAGGGAUCCUCUAGAAGUCUAAGCCCAUCAUAUGUGUAUGGGAAUCCGAGGAUUCCCUAACUGGGGCCCCAGAUGCUGAGGUCGUGUGAUAUUAACCAAACGGGCUAUUAAGUGGGCCAGUCUCUUGCCCUUAUCCAACUUUUGUAGCCUGACAUCCAUUCUUUUGAACUAAUACCCUAAAGUGGUAUUGAUGGAUCACAGGGUCACUCUAUUUUUAAUAUUUUGAGGAAAUCACUAUUUUCCAUAGAGGUUGCACUAUUUCUCAUCCUCUUUUUGAUGUAACAUCAAGGCUUCAGACAUGUGCAAUACCACCUCUCCAGGCUUAUUCAUUCUUUUUAUUUUAGAGAAUGAGGAAGGAGUAAGAGACAGAGAGGACCAUCAUCACUGCCUUGCUCCACCAUCCACGGCAUCUCCUCAGUGGUUGCAGUGCUCUCAAGUGGUGUUGAGCACUCAAACUGACACCCCCAUGUGUGUAUGAAUGUGAGGACAAAGAUCCCCCAAGAGGAGAAAAGGUCACUCCAGAGGUACAGCAACUAAGAGUCAGGACAAGGACCAGCUCUCACUUUCCAAAAGGUCACUUCACAGUAAGAUCAAUCGUGGGACACGUGAGAAACUGUGAUUUACUAAAAUGUUCCCUCAAGAGAGGUAGGAGAUAGAUGACCAGCACAAAGAUCUGAAUCUGAGCCCUCAGCCACCACAUAGGAGCACCACGAGAGGGGAAACUUUGCAAAUGAUGAAACAGUACUGUAAUAUCUUUUUCUCUCC
Long non-coding RNA from Erinaceus europaeus (western European hedgehog), 1935 nucleotides. RefSeq lists it as uncharacterized. The record is from RefSeq and is a predicted model, not a curated record. NCBI's taxonomy places the organism in Eukaryota, Metazoa, Chordata, Mammalia, Eulipotyphla, Erinaceidae. The transcript is spliced from 3 exons.